Molecule: ribosomal RNA, 656 nt
Filed under: Albugo candida
Lineage: Eukaryota; Oomycota; Peronosporomycetes; Albuginales; Albuginaceae
Description: LSU rRNA
Rfam family: Eukaryotic large subunit ribosomal RNA
Source: RNAcentral
UAGUAACGGCGAGUGAAGCGGGAAGAGCUCAAGCUUGAAAUCUCCGCACAAGUUUUGUGUGGCGAAUUGUAGUCUAUAGAAGCGAUGUCAGCAUUGCUGCUCUAGUCAAGUUCCUUGGAAAAGGACAGCAUGGAGGGUUAUACUCCCGUCAUUGCUGGAGCAUGCUGUGUGUACGACACGUUUUCUUUGAGUCGCGUUGUUUGGGAAUGCAGCGCAAAGUAGGUGGUAAAUUCCAUCUAAAGCUAAAUAUAAGUGCGAGACCGAUAGCGAACAAGUACCGUGAGGGAAAGAUGAAAAGAACUUUGAAAAGAGAGUUAAAGAGUACCUGAAACUGCUGAAAGGGAAGCGAAUCGUAUCCAGUGUCUAUAAUCCGCAACAUAUUACAAUGAUGUGUCUUUGCUUUCCGCGUGUAGGUAGUAGCCUUGGUUGCACCUUGCGUGGAUUGGUUGAGACAUAUCGUUGCCCUGUGUUGUGGUGGGACGUCAAAGUCAGUUUGUACGUCGCAGGAAAUGAUUGACGAGGAAGAUAGGUUUGCUGCUUGCAGCGUUCCAUUAUAUCCUUAUCGAUGUCUGCUGUGACGGAGACUGAGGUGUCUUUAACAUGCUCUCGAGUCUAUUAGACAUUCACUUGGUUGAGUGCGUAGAUAGCUUGCUAUG